CAUGCAAGUCGAACGGCAGCACAGCAGAGCUUGCUCUGUGGGUGGCGAGUGGCGGACGGGUGAGGAAUACAUGGGAAUCUGCCCAGUCGUGGGGGAUAACGUAUGGAAACGUACGCUAAUACCGCAUGCGCCCUNUGGGGGAAAGCCGGGGACCUUCGGGCCUGGCGCGAUUGGAUGAGCCCAUGUUCGAUUAGCUAGUUGGCGGGGUAAAGGCCCACCAAGGCGACGAUCGAUAGCUGGUCUGAGAGGAUGAUCAGCCACACUGGGACUGAGACACGGCCCAGACUCCUACGGGAGGCAGCAGUAGGGAAUAUUGGACAAUGGGCGCAAGCCUGAUCCAGCCAUGCCGCGUGAGUGAAGAAGGCCCUCGGGUUGUAAAGCUCUUUUGUCCGGAAAGAAAAGCAUUCGGUUAAUACCCGGGUGUUCUGACGGUACCGGAAGAAUAAGCACCGGCUAACUUCGUGCCAGCAGCCGCGGUAAUACGAAGGGUGCAAGCGUUACUCGGAAUUACUGGGCGUAAAGCGUGCGUAGGUGGUUUGUUAAGUCUGAUGUGAAAGCCCUGGGCUCAACCUGGGAAUGGCACUGGAUACUGGCAAGCUAAAGUGUGGCAAAAGGUAAUGGAAUUCCUGGUGUAGCAGUGAAAUGCGUAAAGAUCAGGAGGAACAUCCGUGGCGAAAGCGACUGCCUGGGCCAACACUGACACUGAGGCACGAAAGCGUGGGGAGCAAACAGGAUUAAAUACCCUGGUAGUCCACGCCC
RNAcentral lists this ribosomal RNA (759 nucleotides) under Thermomonas sp. VC-YC6669. RNAcentral describes it as "bacterial SSU rRNA". It matches the Rfam family "Bacterial small subunit ribosomal RNA", at positions 54 to 802 of the family's 1533-position model. The record is from RNAcentral. Lineage: Bacteria; Pseudomonadati; Pseudomonadota; Gammaproteobacteria; Lysobacterales; Lysobacteraceae.